RNAcentral lists this transfer RNA (75 nucleotides) under Candidatus Saccharimonadota bacterium. Its description in RNAcentral is "tRNA-Cys". It matches the Rfam family "tRNA". Rfam says of the family: Transfer RNA (tRNA) molecules are approximately 80 nucleotides in length. Their secondary structure includes four short double-helical elements and three loops (D, anti-codon, and T loops). Lineage: Bacteria; Candidatus Saccharimonadota. The record is from RNAcentral.
GGCGCCGUGGCCGAGAAGUUAGGCAAAGCUCUGCAAAAGCUUUCUAGGCCGGUGCAAGUCCGGUCGGCGCCUCCA